Molecule: ribosomal RNA, 1190 nt
Filed under: human gut metagenome
Description: bacterial LSU rRNA
Rfam family: Bacterial large subunit ribosomal RNA
Source: RNAcentral
AAGCAGCCAUCCUUUAAAGAAAGCGUAAUAGCUCACUGAUCGAGUCUUUCUGCGCGGAAGAUGUAACGGGGCUAAGCAAGUAACCGAAGCCGCGGAUUCAUACGAAAGUAUGAGUGGUAGGGGAGCGUUCUGUAAGCCUGCGAAGGUGUGUUGAGAAGCAUGCUGGAGGUAUCAGAAGUGCGAAUGCUGACAUGAGUAACGUUAAAGCGGGUGAAAAGCCCGCUCGCCGUAAGCCCAAGGUUUCCUGCUCUACGUUCAUCGGAGCAGGGUGAGUCGGCCCCUAAGGCCAGGCUGAGAAGCGUAGUCGAUGGGAACAAGGUUAAUAUUCCUAGACCAUUGUCAAGUAUGCGAUGGGGGGACGGAGUGUGAAAGAUGAUCCGGGUGUUGGAUAUCCCGGUUUGUGAGAGUAGAAGGAGAGCAGGCAAAUCCGCUCUCGAAUCUUCGAGUCAAAACAUCGAUUCUCCACGUGAGAAGAAGUCAUCGGAAGUGCUUCCAAGAAAAGCCUCUAAGUGGUAGCUUGACAAGACCGUACCGCAAACCGACACUGGUGGGCGAGUUGAAUAUACUAAGGCGCUUGAGAGAACUCGGGAGAAGGAACUCGGCAAAUUGACACCGUAACUUCGGAAGAAGGUGUGCCUUUGUAGCGUGAGAGAAGAAACAUCUUAAGCGUGAAGAGGCCUCAGAGAAUAGGUGGCUGCAACUGUUUACUAAAAACAUAGCACUCUGCAAAGAUGAAAGUCGACGUAUAGGGUGUGAUGCCUGCCCGGUGCUGGAAGAUUAAUUGAUGGGGUGCAAGCUCCUGAUCGAAGUCCCAGUAAACGGCGGCCGUAACUAUAACGGUCCUAAGGUAGCGAAAUUCCUUGUCGGGUAAGUUCCGACCUGCACGAAUGGCAUAAUGAUGGCCACACUGUCUCCUCCCGAGACUCAGUGAAGUUGAAAUGUUUGUGAUGAUGCAAUCUACCCGCGGCUAGACGGAAAGACCCCAUGAACCUUUACUGUAGCUUUACAUUGGACUGUGAACCGAUUUGUGUAGGAUAGGUGGGAGGCAGAGAAACUCGAACGCCAGUUUGAGCGGAGCCAACCUUGAAAUACCACCCUGAUUUGUUUGCGGUUCUAACCUCGGCCCAUGAUCUGGGCUAGGGACCGUGUAUGGUAGGCAGUUUGACUGGGGCGGUCUCCUCCUAAAGGGU